GGGGAAUAUUGGACAAUGGGCGAAAGCCUGAUCCAGCAAUACCGCGUGUGUGAAGAAGGCCUGAGGGUUGUAAAGCACUUUCAAUAGGAAGGAAUACCUGCCGGUUAAUACCCGGUAGACUGACAUUACCUAUACAAGAAGCACCGGCUAACUCCGUGCCAGCAGCCGCGGUAAUACGGAGGGUGCAAGCGUUAAUCGGAAUUACUGGGCGUAAAGCGUGCGUAGGCGGUUGUUUAAGUCAGGUGUGAAAGCCCUGGGCUUAACCUGGGAACUGCAUUUGAUACUGGGCAACUAGAGUGUAGUAGAGGGGAGUGGAAUUUCAGGUGUAGCGGUGAAAUGCGUAGAGAUCUGAAGGAACACCAGUGGCGAAGGCGGCUCCCUGGACUAAAUCUGACGCUGAGGUACGAAAGCGUGGGUAGCAAACA
Molecule: ribosomal RNA, 425 nt
Filed under: uncultured Methylomonas sp.
Lineage: Bacteria; Pseudomonadati; Pseudomonadota; Gammaproteobacteria; Methylococcales; Methylococcaceae
Description: bacterial SSU rRNA
Rfam family: Bacterial small subunit ribosomal RNA
Source: RNAcentral